This 383-nucleotide ribosomal RNA is filed under the name Theileria luwenshuni. RNAcentral's name for it is "SSU rRNA". It matches the Rfam family "Eukaryotic small subunit ribosomal RNA", at positions 453 to 873 of the family's 1831-position model. Lineage: Eukaryota; Apicomplexa; Aconoidasida; Piroplasmida; Theileriidae. The record is from RNAcentral.
GACACAGGGAGGUAGUGACAAGAAAUAACAAUACGGGGCUUAAUGUCUUGUAAUUGGAAUGAUGGGAAUUUAAACCUCUUCCAGAGUAUCAAUUGGAGGGCAAGUCUGGUGCCAGCAGCCGCGGUAAUUCCAGCUCCAAUAGCGUAUAUUAAAAUUGUUGCAGUUAAAAAGCUCGUAGUUGAAUUUCUGCUGCAUUGCAUCUUCUUUUUGAUGAGUUGGUGUAUUGUGGCUUAUUUCGGAUGAUACUUGUAUUAUCCGGAUGAUUACUUUGAGAAAAUUAGAGUGCUCAAAGCAGGCUUUUGCCUUGAAUAGUUUAGCAUGGAAUAAUAAAGUAGGACUUUGGUUCUAUUUUGUUGGUUUUAGGUACCAAAGUAAUGGUUAAU